Alligator mississippiensis (American alligator) is the source of this 2154-nucleotide long non-coding RNA. RefSeq lists it as uncharacterized. The record is from RefSeq and is a predicted model, not a curated record. The transcript has 4 exons. Lineage: Eukaryota; Metazoa; Chordata; Crocodylia; Alligatoridae.
CCUCUUCCUGCUGCCUCCAAGGUCUCUGGGAUUUGCAGUCCAGACUUACAAUAGCAGCAUGCUGCAGAGUUGCUUAUCACUUCCUCUUCCUGCUUCCAUGUGGUGCUGGGCUUUGUAGUCUACAGUUGCAGCCAGAACAGGAACUCCCGGUCUGCACCGGCUCAGCUUUACCUCCACAUCACGUGAAGUGAUUUCGGGCCAGUCUGCAGCAUGGGCUAUAUCCGGAGGCCGGGGGCGGACGCAGAGGGGAGCUGAAGGAGCGUGGGCGAGUAGCCGAAGAACAAGAAGCUUGGACUGAGGACAGGCACCUGCCCAAGGAAAGGAGAGUAGGGGCUCACCCCCCCCCAGAAGCCUUCAUCGCUGAAGCAGGACAGGCAAGAUCCCAAGCGACGAAGACUGUGUCCACCCUAAUUGAUGACGUCUGAGGGAAUCCCCUGCCACGGGAAUGGCACUUGCAGGGGGAAAAAAAAGAAAAGAUAGACUGUGGAAAAGACUUACCAGAUAAGAUAGGGAGGCGACAGGAUGCCAUGCUGGAAGCCAAACGUGGCAAAAGUGAAACCACAGCAGGCAGAGCCACCAUGGGAGAUCAGAAGAAAAUGAAGCAGCCAAGCCAAGAGGAGCCAGGAACAGCUCCCGCGUCCACAUGGGCAUGCUUUAUAAGAGCGUGAUGGGACCGAUUGGUCGGCCAGAUGCCUGGAGCUGGGAUAAAAGACCCAGUGAAAGAAAGCAGUGGAGACUGGAAGUGGAGUCCCCAACUGGCCCAGAGGGGCCAGAACUCUCAAGUGGUCCCAGCAAGGGGACCUGGUGGGUACCCUAGGAAGGGGUCACUAUGAGAACACAGGGCCAGAGAGGGCCCGAGGAUCUACUUACAGGAUCGACGUGGACAGAGGAAGGCUGCAGCAAUGACUGGAGCGAGGCAGGACCCUGCAGUAUCAGGAUCUGACAGAUGGCAGUUACCAAACCUGGGGAAAAGGCGACGUGGUGGAGGAUGGAACGGUGCCAAAGCCGGACGCCGUAUAGGCAAGAGAGCAUAGAAGCAUCACCACUAGCCUGCGACUGUAAGAUCCUGAAAGACUGAGCGCUGAGAAGGUUCAGGACAUCAGCCUCGACGACACAAGUGACAACAUCACAGUUGGUGUUAGGCAGGGUAUAGGGGAGGCAGAGCCCCACAAAGAAGGAACAGCAGGAACGACCAAGGGAAGGCGCCAGGGAGGUGGGACCAAACGUUGUCCUCCUGAUCCAAAUAUAAUCAUCAUCAAAGACAUGCAGGUGAGUCCCCUGGGGAACCGACCCAAAGUCACUCCAAUAACCAAGCUGUUCAGCCCAAAGAGCCAUGGCGAGGCUCGAGAAGAACCCACACACAUGGCGCCCAGGGGAAAGACACAGAAGAUUAAGUAGACCUUACAGCAUGCCCUGAAUAUUGUGAACCAAGGACUAUUGUGGAUGUGGAGGAAGUCAGCUUCAAAAUUUUGUUUUGGUUGUUUUUUAUGUUUAAUUAUUGGGACUGAAUUGUUUGGUAUUUGAAUAUUUUUAGUCAUACAGGUAUAUGCAAAUUACAGCAUUGUCAGUGUAUUAAGGAUCAACACAAAUUAGAAAUCAUGUAUUUGGAACAGAUUAUACUUUAAGUGUGGUCAUAAUUAAUCCAUAAAUUAUUACCAGACAUAUCAACAGUUCUACAAACAGUACUGCCUUUCAUUUGUGAGUUACAAGAAUGUUGUAUGAUAUUUGAAUUGCUUUUUAAGAACAUAUCAUUUUCCCAAUAAAUGUGAGAAAACUGUUUGACUUUGAAGUAUAAACACAUAUGAUAUACCAACUGCUCUGAAUCGCAACUUUUUUACAUUUUUAAUCAAUUUUGAAACGCACUGAAAUAUAAAAAUUUGGAAGAAAUGUGCCAUGAAGAUUAUGGGGCACUUGAAAGCUUUUUAAAUUUGGCCCUUAGUAAGACGUUGACUCCCACUGAGCAUCAAAUAGAUAGCAUUCAGAAUGUGGAAAACCUAAAAUGUAACAGAAGGAAUAUUAUUGCAUGUGGAACAAUCAUGACUUAAAGUGCCAAUACAUUUUAUUUUGUGUGUUGUGUGCUUAUGGACAUUUUUACUUUUUGUUAACAAAGUUUACUUCAUCUUGUAAAUGCAAUCUCACUCUUUCCCUCUUGAU